Long non-coding RNA from Numida meleagris (helmeted guineafowl), 128 nucleotides. RefSeq lists it as uncharacterized. The record is from RefSeq and is a predicted model, not a curated record. NCBI's taxonomy places the organism in Eukaryota, Metazoa, Chordata, Aves, Galliformes, Numididae. The transcript is spliced from 3 exons.
UCUCACGGUUUACUCAGCCACUCAAGACUGAACACAUGCGUCAGUUUUCCCCUUCAGAUUAUGACCAACUGAGGAUUGAAUUAGAACUUGUGAAGCGACAGCACUACAAAGGUGAGAGUAAAACAGCU